GGCCUCGUAGCUCAACUGGUAGAGCAUGCGCGUACAAAGCGUAGGCGGCGUCCAUGCGUGGGUUCGAACCCCACUGAGGCUA
Molecule: transfer RNA, 82 nt
Filed under: Echinostoma caproni
Lineage: Eukaryota; Metazoa; Platyhelminthes; Trematoda; Plagiorchiida; Echinostomatidae
Rfam family: tRNA
About the family: Transfer RNA (tRNA) molecules are approximately 80 nucleotides in length. Their secondary structure includes four short double-helical elements and three loops (D, anti-codon, and T loops).
Source: Rfam by way of RNAcentral